AAUGAGAUGAUUUGAAAUAUAGCCUAUGAUCACAUUUUGUCAUCUUUGAUUAGCCCUGUUCAGUUAAGUAGGCUAGUAUUUUCUCCACAGAUUUCACCACUUCACCAAUCAAUAAUCAAUAGGCGUUUUAUUAUGUAAUGCUGUCAGACCCAUAACCAAUCGAAUUUCAAACCCCACCCAUGAAUACCGCUAUGCUGAACAUGUCAAAGGCCAGUGCGUCAAUGUCCUCCGUUUCGGGGAACCAUAUUUAAUUUCAUGUGUAUCAGUUAGCCUAAUGGCGUCAUUUCUCCGAGGUUAGGCUACCGGAAUUGCGUCAUGAAUAUUCAAAUUCGGUUUCAUUCAGUGGAUCCCGGACUCGAACUCUCCUCAACGCCGACAGAUACUAAAGACAACAGAGUGUCCUGAGAGUGUUUCCACCAGUAACGAGUUGGAAAGAAGACCAGCAUUGACAAGCAAUGCACAAGCAUUGAUCAGGCUCAAGAGUCAUAUUGUAGCGGUCAUGUUUUCAGGAGAGUCAGCAGCCCCUUCUGGAGGAGGACGCAGACCCAGGCUCCAUAAAGACCAGGGGAGGCAGGCAGAAUGUCCUGCCCCAGACCCAGCUGCGACACUGUCUGAGCAACUCCUCGUCCUGGAGAUUCUCCUUGAAUAGAAGCCUUCAUACUGGAGACACUGAGACGGAUCGCGACUCUGGAUCCCCUCGGCAGGAAGAGUAUGACAGCACCACCAGGAGAAGGCAGCCUUAGUCCAGCCGAGACAGUAUUGAUUGCAUGGCAGUUUCUUCUCACAGCCUCAUAACCAGCCUCUAAUGCCUCUGUUUAACCUGCCUGACCAGUCUAACCUGGUUUAGCUUGUCUAACCUGGUUUAGCUUGUCUAACCUGGUUUAGCCUGCCGGACCUGUCUAACCUGGUUUAACCUGUCUGACCUGCCUGACCAGUCUAACCUGGUUUAGCCUGUCUAACCUGGUUUAGCCUGCCUGACCUGUCUAACCUGGUUUAGUCUGCCUGACCUGUCUAACCUGGUUUAACCUGUCUGACCUGCCUAACCUGGUUUAGCUUGUCUAACCUGGUUUAGCCUGCCUAACCUGUCUAACUUGGUUUAGCCUGCCUGACCUGUCUAACCUGGUUUAACCUGUCUGACCUGCCUGACCUGGUUUAGCGUGCCUGUGGAAACUCCAGGUGUAGCAGAGCCCAAUGGGAUGAGAUGGGGAGCAUCUAUCUCUCUUCCUGUCUAAAGACUUUCAUUGGCUUCAUAACAGCAGGUAACUGCCUCAAAGCCAUAUAGGCUCUCGCUAUCUCUGGUCAUCCUCUCACUAGUCCCAUGAGCAGUAACCCUACGGAAGACAACCCAGGUAAUGCUGCCAGCCAGGACACACCCAGGUAAUGCUGCCAGCCAGGACACCCACAGGUAAUGCUGCCAAUCAGGACACCCCCAGGUAAUGCUGCCAGCCAGGACACCCCCAGGUAAUGCUGCCAGCCAGGACACCCCCGGGUAAUGCUGCCAGCCAGGACACCCCCGGGUAAUGCUGCCAGCCAGGACACCCCCGGGUAAUGCUGCCAGCCAGGACACCCCCAGGUAAUGCUGCCAGCCAGGACACCCCCAGGUAAUGCUGCCAGCCAGGACACCCCCAGGUAAUGCUGCCAGUCAGGACAGACAAUUAGUCGAUGUUCUGGUUGGUGUGGUGAGGGUGGUAGACCCUUUGUCAUGACCAUUUGUCAUGAUGAUAUUUUAUCAAGGAGAUAUUGGAUAUUAUUAUUAUUUUAAAUUUUUUAUAUUUGGUCGUUUUACACAGAAGAAGCAGUAGCCUAAAUUCAGAACCAGGUUCGCUGUGUGUGGAAAAAGGGGGUGGAGAGGAGGGACCAUGGGGCCAUCACGGACCUCCCUCCCGUCCGUUACCAUGACAACAGCCAUGGAUGGGGGAGCCACAUGUGGAGGGAGGAGAGGAGAUCAGUACAGGUGUUGAUGUGGUUUCCGCGUGGCUUUAUUCAGCCUUGCUGUGAUGACUGUAGGUUACUGGACAUGGAUAGCUGCGGUCAGAACACCUACGCAAUCUCACCAUAGUUUCCCAUUGUAUUCGGAAACCUUGCUUUUCGGGAAUACGAAGUGUAUAAUUUAAUUUUACGGUGGAAAUAAUU
RNAcentral lists this long non-coding RNA (2133 nucleotides) under Oncorhynchus mykiss (rainbow trout). Its description in RNAcentral is "lncRNA (ENSOMYG00000056577.1)". The record is from RNAcentral. Lineage: Eukaryota; Metazoa; Chordata; Actinopteri; Salmoniformes; Salmonidae.